AUACUUACACUCGAGUUGAACGACGGACACCCACUCAUGUGUAUAAAAUUAAAAUUCCGUUUGUAUGCAUGUCUGUCCGUUAUACAAAUCUAAAAUUUUAUUUCGAUAAAAAUUUGCACACUCGACAUUCAAAACGAGAGGAGGAUCGAUGUAUACAUUUUAUCUCGAAAUUCGACCUCUACACUCUAGGGGUUGGUUGGUACGGUGUUUUUGGUAUUUUUUUUUUUCUGUUGAUUUAUGAGUUACCUUGGCGACACGAACGAAGAAACCAGUUAUAAUUAUUUAAUUUGUUUGUAACAGACGAGGAAGUGUCCUUUUUAAAUGAUAAACUACAAGGCAACAACGAUUAACUGUGAUCGGAGGCAAGAAUGAACUCGAGGAGACAUGUUAAAUUGUAUUUCAAUUAUUGAUUUCUGUUUUUAAAAGGAUCGAGCUAGAGAAAUACCGGGUAAUUCAGCUGGUUUAACAUUCUGAAUCAUACCUCGUUGUCGUAAAAUAUUGGACUGCUGGUGUUUUAUCGUCUUAUCUCGGGGCUGUACAGAUUAGGGUUCGUUCGUAGAUUUACCAUACGGACGGCCGAUAUCGGCCGUGACAAUUUGUCGAAAGCGUUUGCAGUUCUUUGUACUUUAGAAUAAUUUCUUUUCAGAAAUCUCACGAUGGCGGUGAACAUUACGUGUAUAACACAGUUUGUGUUUUUUUUUUUUCUACAAUAUAGCAGAUAGUCGUAAUACUGACGAAUUGUAAGACGAAAAUUGGGCGAGUGAUCCAUCUCGAACGGAUCGCGUCCCAGUGGAUGU
Molecule: non-coding RNA, 797 nt
Organism: Cinara cedri
Lineage: Eukaryota; Metazoa; Arthropoda; Insecta; Hemiptera; Aphididae
Source: the annotation of a GenBank genome assembly